GUNCUGUUCAUUAAUGAUCCUUCCGCAAAAACAAAACUUUCAGCAACGGAUCUCUUGGCUCUUGCAUCGAUGAAGAACGCAGCGAAAUGCGAUACGUAAUGUGAAUUGCAGAAUUCAGUGAAUCAUCGAAUCUUUGAACGCACCUUGCACUCUUUGGUAUUCCGAAGAGUAUGUCUGUUUGAGUGUCAUGAAAUUCUCAACCCCCCUAUUUUGUAAUGAGAUGGGCGUGGGCUUGGUUUAUGGNUGUUUGCUGGCUUUAAUUAGNCUGCUCGGCCGAAAUACACGAGUAGCCCAAUUUGAAAAGCACGGAUUGACUCGGCGUAAUAACUAUUUCGCUGAGGACGUACAUUUCAAGACAGUGGCGCUUCUAAUGCAAUAAUCCAUUUAAGCUUUAGACCUCAAAUCAGAUAGGACUACCCGCUGAACUUAAGCAUAUCAAUAAGCGGAGGAAAAGAAACUAACAAGGAUUCCCCUAGUAAUGGCGAAUGAAGUGGGAAAAGCUCAACUUUGAAAUCUG
RNAcentral lists this ribosomal RNA (517 nucleotides) under uncultured Cyphobasidiales. RNAcentral describes it as "eukaryotic LSU rRNA". The stretch from base 35 to 188 matches the Rfam family "5.8S ribosomal RNA". Lineage: Eukaryota; Fungi; Basidiomycota; Cystobasidiomycetes; Cyphobasidiales. The record is from RNAcentral.